This 106-nucleotide small nuclear RNA is filed under the name Sciurus vulgaris (Eurasian red squirrel). Lineage: Eukaryota; Metazoa; Chordata; Mammalia; Rodentia; Sciuridae. The record is from RNAcentral.
AUGCUCUCUUUGGCAGCACAUAUGCUACACUUGUAACUGGACAGAGGAGAUUAGCAUGGCCCCUGCACAAAGUUGACACAAAAUUCAUGAAAUGUUCCAUAUUUUU